AAAUACAUUUUCAAAAUUAUCUAUUACUAGGUCCACUGGUCUCCACAUAAUGAAACUAUUCUGGCUUCAAGUGGUACUGACCGCCGCCUGAAUGUGUGGGAUUUAAGUAAAAUUGGGGAAGAACAAUCAGCAGAAGAUGCAGAAGAUGGGCCUCCAGAACUCCUGGUACGCAUUGGCUUAUAGAAGAUGAAAUGUCAUAUGCAGAUUGGAUUGUCAUUGAUCUCUUUAUUUCGAGAAUGGGUCAGAACUUCGAAUUCUAGCUCUUGCAGAUGGUUUCAAAAUGGAGGCCCUGAAGGUUAUUGCAACUGGGCUUUGACAUUUAUCAAAAAUAGUAAAUGGAGCCCAGUAGGUUUUUAUGAAUGUUUCACUGAGAAUGGUUUGAGGUCCUGGAAAAUAGUAUAUAGUAAUUUCUCACUGAUUUCAACUCUGGUAUUUGUGAUGGUUUGGGGAUGGGGAGUGAGUAUAAUUGCUAUUCAGUUGGCAGUACUUAACAUUUCCUAACAGUAUAGAAAAAAUUUUAAAUGCUUUUUAAGUUUCCUGCCCAGAAAAGGAGUGCUUUCUCAAUCUUGAUGUUAGCAGAGCCCACUAUCUCCCUCCCAUGCCUGAUUGAAGCAUCACGCAUCUCCUUGGCCCUUUGAAAGCUUAUGUGGUGGUAUCUGCCCAUCCUCAUUCUUCCCGUCUGAGUCCUUCAGUGCUCACUUCGUCAUUUUUCUAUGAAGCAUUGCCGGAUUUAGCAAUGGUUCCCUGUCCUUGCUCUGAAUCCAACAUUUGUCUCCUCCCAUUAUUUGGCCGAUAGUCACUCAUCACUCUGUCAUUUACGAUUUUAGUUCUAAUGCCAGUACUCAUUUUUGGCACACUUGUACUUUGUCCAUGAGUUUUAUUUAUUCAUUUUUUCUGUGAACCUAUGGAGUAUAUUGAAUGUCCACAAGUUUUCAAAGGUAAAGAAGGUCCUUGAGAGCAAGCCCUGCACACAGAAGAUGUUCACUAAGCCCACCUUGUAAGAAUGCUCCAGACCCUUUUAUUUUGAUGACGGCUUUACUGAGAUAUAAUUUACAUACCACACAGUUCACUUCUUUAAAGUGUACAGUUCAGUGGGGAGGGAGUGUUCUUGGGUUUUGGGGGUUUUUUUUCUUUUUUUGUUCUUGAAGUCAGUGGUUUUUAGUAUAUUCAUAGACUUGUAAAACUAUCACCACAAAUCAAUUCUAGAACAUUAUUCAUCCCCUCCAAAAGAAACUAUAGCUAUCACCUCCCAAUUCUCUUCUUCCUCCAGCCCUUGGCAACUACUGUGCUACUUUCUGGCACUAUAAGAUUGGGCUAUUCUAGAUAUUUCAUAUAAAUAUGACUUUUGUCUUUUGGGACUGAUUCUUUCACAUAGUACAAUGUUUUCAAGGUCUCCAGCUAUUUUUUUUAGGGAGAAAGGAAAGCGUAUUACUUUGUAUAUUAUGCCUCUGCAACAAUUCCAAGGUCCUUGAGAAAAUACACUAGGAUUUUGCUUUUUACAAGAGAGCUUGAAAUCAAGGGACAUUUGAGAGUAGUAAACUGGGCCUGGGCAUGGUGGCUCCUGCCUGGAAUCCCAGCACUUUGGGAGGCCAAGGCAGGUGGAUCACGUGAGCCCACAAGUUCAAGACCAGGCUGGGAAACAUGGCAAAACCCUGUCCUGUCUCUACCAAAAAAAAAAAAAAAUACAUAAAUUAGCCAGGUGUGGUGGCGCGUGCCUGUAGUCCCAGCUACUUGGGAGACUGAGGUAGGAGAAUCACCUGAGCCCGGGAAGUUGAGGCUGCAGUGAGCCAUGAUCACACCACUGCACUCCAGCCUGGGCAAUGGGAGUGAGACCCUGUCCCAAAAACAAAGUAGUAAACUAUUCCACCAGUAUGCUUUGAUAACUCCUGUAUGUUUUCUAAGCCCCAGUGAUCUUAAAAUAUAUUCACCUGUGUACCCCUUAAGAGUACUCUCUCUGUCGCCCAGGCUGGAGUGCAGUGGUGCAAUCUCAGCUCACUGCAACCUCUGCCUCCCGGGUUCAAGUGAUUCUCCUGCCUCAGCCUCCCGAGUAGCUGGGACUACAGGUGCGCAACACCAUGUCCAGCUAAUUUUUGUAUUUUUAGUAGAGACAGGGUUUCACCAUGUUGGCCAGGAUGGUCUUGAUCUCUUGACCUCGUGAUCCGCCCGCCUCAGCCUCCCAAAGUGGUGGGAUUACAGGCGUGAGCCACCACACCCGGCCAGUAUAUUCACUUGUGUACCCCUUAAGAGUACUUUAAAAAGCUAUUUACCUCUUUUUUUUUUAAGUCAAGGUCUGGUUCUGUCACCCAGGCUGGAGUGCAGUGGCGCAGUCUUAGUUCACUGCAACCUCCACCUCCCAGGUUCAAGCUGUCUUCCCAUCUCAGCCUCCUGAGUAGCUGGGACUAUGGGCACACCCCACCACGCCCGGCUAAUUUUCGUAUUUUUUGUAGAGACGGGGUUUUGUCAUGUUGCCCAGGCUGGUCUUGAACUCCUGAGCUCGAGCCAUCCGCCUGCUUUGGCCUCCCAAAGUGCUGGGAUUACAGGCGUGAGUUUUACCCAGCCCCACCUCAUAUUUUUAACCCGAUAAGAUUAUUCGGUAAAAUAGAUACAUUGCAUAAUACCUAGUUGGCAGGCAGAGACCUCAUUGUCAAACUAGAGUCAAAUCAGACUUUGUCAGAAAGUGUGAUGUCCCAGUUCCAAACAGUGUAUUUAGUACUGUCCUUGUGAAGAAGUGUUUCGUUUAAAUCUUAAUUCUAAGAUAAAAAAAUAAGGCAUAGUGCAUUCCGACGAGGUUGUCUCUUGCGGGGAACAACUGCUCUCUUCAGAAUUGUUUAGCAAAGCUCUCACCUUAGGCAUAGCUUAUGAGGGACUAUCUGGAGCUAUGCUUUUGGAGCCAGGGAUUUUCUUUCACCCUGGUGCUGUCUGUGUACGUUGGAAAGAUGGGCAAGAAGUAUGCCUCUCUCAGUAAAGUGGAGAGGGGAAGAACCAGAAGACUCCUCAGGCCCCUUGUAUAAUAGAAGAGUAUGUUACAUGGCAUAUAACGGAUUGAUUACCUUAGAUGUUUGCACCUAACUGUAUAUGAGCAAAUGAUGCUGGAUUAAUGUUCAUCAUAAUCAGUAUGGAAAUGGCAUUUUGACUAGGAAAAUGUCCUCAUUCUUAAGGGAUGCAGGCUGAAGUCUUCAGCCAUUUCAUUGUAUAGGCUCAUGGAUAAAGCAUCAGUUAUGCUAGUAUCACUUGGUGAAUCUAGGUAAAGGGUAUACAGGUAUCCAUUGUACUAUAUUCUGUCACCUAUUCUGGAGGUUUGGAAAUUUGCAAAAUAAGUAUAAAUAGAUUACUGAGCCUGUACCACCUUCUAAAACCAGACAGCACCCACCCCCAGUUGAAAUACUGAUAGCUCUAAAAACUUAGUAAAACCUUUGUUAGGAUUAACAGGAGAGUAUAUGAAAUCAAAGCUUUUUUUGUUCUUGUAACAGUUUAUUCAUGGAGGACACACUGCUAAGAUUUCAGAUUUUAGCUGGAACCCCAAUGAGCCUUGGGUCAUUUGCUCAGUGUCUGAGGAUAACAUCAUGCAGAUAUGGCAAAUGGCUGAAAAUAUUUACAAUGAUGAAGAGUCAGAUGUCACGACAUCCGAACUGGAGGGACAAGGAUCUUAAACCCAAAGUACGAGAAAUGUUUCUGUUGAAUGUAAUGCUACAUGAAUGCUUGAUUUAUCAAGCGCCAAAAAGGCAUUGUAUAGUAGGAAAUGUAAGUGGGGUGGCUUAUGGCUUCUUUAUCCUCUGAUUCUAGCACUUUCAAGUGAGCUGUUGCGUACUGUAUCAUAUUGUAGCUAUUAGGGAAGAGAAGAAUGUUGCUUAAGAAAGAACAUCACCAUUGAUUUUAAAUACAAGUAGCAGGGUAUUGCCUUUGAUUCAACUGUUUUAAGUCCUCAUUUUCUCAAACUAAGUGCUUGCUGUUCCCAAAUAUGCAAGAAUAACUUUUACACUUUUUCCUUCCAACACUUCUUGAUUGGCUUUGCAGAAAUAAAGUUUUAAAAU
This 4031-nucleotide long non-coding RNA is filed under the name Homo sapiens (human). RNAcentral describes it as "non-protein coding lnc-CTPS2-5:1". The record is from RNAcentral. Lineage: Eukaryota; Metazoa; Chordata; Mammalia; Primates; Hominidae.